GUCUACAGCCAUACCACCCUGAACACUCCCAAUCUCGUCUGAUUUAGGAAGCUAAGCAGGGCUGGGCCUGGUUAGUACCUGGAUGGGCGAACAUUCCAAGGUGAAGUUCUUGAGGCACAUGGCU
Ribosomal RNA from Erinaceus europaeus (western European hedgehog), 124 nucleotides. NCBI's taxonomy places the organism in Eukaryota, Metazoa, Chordata, Mammalia, Eulipotyphla, Erinaceidae. The record is from Ensembl.